GACGAACGUUGGCGGCGUGCUUAACACAUGCAAGUCGAACGGAAAGGCCCUGCUUUUGUGGGGUGCUCGAGUGGCGAACGGGUGAGUAACACGUGAGUAACCUGCCCUUGACUUUGGGAUAACUUCAGGAAACUGGGGCUAAUACCGGAUAGGAGCUCCUGCUGCAUGGUGGGGGUUGGAAAGUUUCGGCGGUUGGGGAUGGACUCGCGGCUUAUCAGCUUGUUGGUGGGGUAGUGGCUUACCAAGGCUUUGACGGGUAGCCGGCCUGAGAGGGUGACCGGCCACAUUGGGACUGAGAUACGGCCCAGACUCCUACGGGAGGCAGCAGUGGGGAAUAUUGCACAAUGGGCGGAAGCCUGAUGCAGCAACGCCGCGUGCGGGAUGACGGCCUUCGGGUUGUAAACCGCUUUCGCCUGUGACGAAGCGUGAGUGACGGUAAUGGGUAAAGAAGCACCGGCUAACUACGUGCCAGCAGCCGCGGUGAUACGUAGGGUGCGAGCGUUGUCCGGAUUUAUUGGGCGUAAAGGGCUCGUAGGUGGUUGAUCGCGUCGGAAGUGUAAUCUUGGGGCUUAACCCUGAGCGUGCUUUCGAUACGGGUUGACUUGAGGGAGGUAGGGGAGAAUGGAAUUCCUGGCGGAGCGGUGGAAUGCGCAGAUAUCAGGAGGAACACCAGUGGCGAAGGCGGCUCUCUGGGCCUUUCCUGACGCUGAGGAGCGAAAGCGUGGGGAGCGAACAGGCUUAGAUACCCUGGUAGUCCACGCUGUAAACGGUGGGUACUAGGUGUGGGGUCCAUUCCACGGGUUCCGUGCCGUAGCUAACGCUUUAAGUACCCCGCCUGGGGAGUACGGCCGCAAGGCUAAAACUCAAAGGAAUUGACGGGGCCCCGCACAAGCGGCGGAGCAUGCGGAUUAAUUCGAUGCAACGCGUAGAACCUUACCUGGGUUUGACAUGGAUCGGGAGUGCUCAGAGAUGGGUGUGCCUCUUUUGGGGUCGGUUCACAGGUGGUGCAUGCCUGUCGUCAGCUCGUGUCGUGAGAUGUUGGGUUAAGUCCCGCAACGAGCGCAACCCUUGUUCACUGUUGCCAGCACGUUAUGGUGGGGACUCAGUGGAGACCGCCGGGGUCAACUCGGAGGAAGGUGGGGAUGACGUCAAGUCAUCAUGCCCCUUAUGUCCAGGGCUUCACGCAUGCUACAAUGGCUGGUACAGAGAGUGGCGAGCCUGUGAGGGUGAGCGAAUCUCGGAAAGCCGGUCUCAGUUCGGAUUGGGGUCUGCAACUCGACCUCAUGAAGUCGGAGUCGCUAGUAAUCGCAAAUCAGCAACGCUGCGGUGAAUACGUUCCCGGGGCC
Molecule: ribosomal RNA, 1346 nt
Filed under: uncultured bacterium
Lineage: Bacteria
Description: partial 16S ribosomal RNA
Rfam family: Bacterial small subunit ribosomal RNA
Source: RNAcentral